UUGAAAUCCUCAAGGAUGUUGCUGGCCUGUUAAAAGGCAUGUGCACUCCUUAACCUUUCAACCCACCUGUGAACCUAUUGUAGGCCAGAUGAUAAUAAAGUCUGUGUCUAUGUUUUUAUACACACUCCAAAAAGUUUAUAGAAUAUUAUGAAUAAAAUAAUUCAAAAUA
Molecule: unclassified non-coding RNA, 169 nt
Filed under: uncultured Agaricales
Lineage: Eukaryota; Fungi; Basidiomycota; Agaricomycetes; Agaricales
Description: sequence contains ITS1
Source: RNAcentral